GUGAGUUUGUGUGCAGAUAAUUACAGCGCACAAGUAUACAGGACUCAAGUCAAAAUAUAUACCAUGAAAUACAGUUUUUUAAUAAGUAAUUUCUUUGCAACUUUGAAGUGAAGUGUGUAAUUUAAGUGUCUUGAAGCUGCUUUGAUGUUAUAGACGUGAGGUGAGCUGCUGCCGUGUUUUUCACCUUUACUGCAUCAUGUCUUUGUUUACUUCAACCAAAUAUCUAUAGAAAUACUGCACAAGGUCAGAUACUGUAUGUUGACAAUUGUUUUUUGUACAGGUGAUAAUGAGUUCUUCUCUCAGACUGUAAACGCUCUGUUCCACCUCGUGAUGUCAGAGGGUAAUCAGAAAUUCUACAAUUUUGAUUUAAAUUGGUUAAAUAAUAGUCUGUAGUAAAUAUACAUGAUUUUUUACACAAAUGAAGAAGCAAUUUGUGAAGAAAUGUUGAAAAAUAUUUAGGAAAUUAGUAAUAAAAGUAAAAGUAAUUUUUGUAAAAAAAAAAAAAAAAGGUCUAAACCAGGACUAAAUCAGGCCUAAAAUCAGGACUAAACCAGGACUAAAACCAAGACUAAAACUAGGUCUUAAACCAGGUCUAAAACCAGGACUAAACCAGGUCUAAACCAGGACUAAACCAGGACUAAACCAGGACCAAACAGGGACUAAAGCCAGGUCUAAGCCAGGUCUAAACCAGGACUAAAUCAGGACUAAAACCAGGUCUAAAGCAGGACUAAACUAGGACUAAACCAGGACUAACCCAGGACCAAACCAGGUCUAAACCAGGUUUAAACUAGGACUAAACUAGGACUAAACCAGGUCUAAACCAGGACUAAAACCAAGACUAAAACUAGGUCUAAAACCAUGACUAAAAUCAGGACUAAAGCCAGGUCUAAACCAGGUCUAAACCAGGUCUAAGCCAGGACCAAAGCCAGGUCUAAACCAAGUCUAAAUCAGGACUAAAAUCAGGUCUAACCCAGAUCUAAACCAGAACUAAACCAGGACUAAACCAGGUCUAAACCAGGUCUAAACCAGGACUAAACCAGGACUAAACAAUUUACCCAAGAAACAAAUUCUCCUAAUACUUUAAACACAAUUUAAAGAAAUAAAGUUGUUCUUUUAUAUUUGUAUUUGUCAGGUCAGACUUUCUGUGCACAUUAGACGAGUUUUGGCCUAGUUUACGACGUGGUUGCUAGGUAACCGUUCUGUUAUUCUCUACUGUGAUGUCAUGAUUUCCAACCAGGAAGUCAAAUUUAAUAAAACUUAAUCAAACGGACAGACUGGGAACUCUUUUUCUUUAUUUUAUUUUGAGUCAAUUCGUAAAUAUAAUCAUUUUUUUACUGUCUUUUAGCAAAAUUUGUAGUCCAGCCUUUACAACGUCGUCAAAUUCUGGAAGGAAAAGUAGCAUUGUUGCCGUAGCGAUAAACAAUUGAAAAUAAAACACUGCAACUUCUGAAUGGAACGGCAAAACCUCCCCGACGCGUUGCCUAAUAAAACAGGAAGCUCGGACUCACUCGUGCAUUACUCAAUUUGUCAAACACUUACGGGUAGCCUCAGAAAACCCCCGUAAACCAGAACCAACCAGCUCUGCGAAGUGGCGAUAAUGAAUUGGUCCCUCGGCGCGCAUUAAGACUUGUUAGUACAUUCA
Boleophthalmus pectinirostris (great blue-spotted mudskipper) is the source of this 1642-nucleotide long non-coding RNA. RefSeq lists it as uncharacterized. The transcript is spliced from 3 exons. Lineage: Eukaryota; Metazoa; Chordata; Actinopteri; Gobiiformes; Gobiidae. The record is from RefSeq and is a predicted model, not a curated record.